Acanthopagrus latus (yellowfin seabream) is the source of this 256-nucleotide long non-coding RNA. RefSeq lists it as uncharacterized. NCBI's taxonomy places the organism in Eukaryota, Metazoa, Chordata, Actinopteri, Spariformes, Sparidae. The record is from RefSeq and is a predicted model, not a curated record. The transcript is spliced from 2 exons.
CUUUAACCCUGACGUUGUGGUCUGUCUGCACUGAAACUUCGCUAAAGUUGUGAUUUAGCCUACAAAACACAACUCAGGGACUAAUAAUGAUUCAGUUAAUUACUUCAUAGUGUUUUAAAAGGGCCACAAAGUCUUAAAGCUGUGCUGGUAUUCACUGUCCAUCACCUUUUCUAAAAUGUGCUACACAACAGUGUCCAAUAUGAACAGCAUAUCCGGAUGGAAAUGGACGAGCAUGGUAAUAAAAUGAACAGCAAUG